Molecule: ribosomal RNA, 440 nt
Filed under: uncultured bacterium
Lineage: Bacteria
Description: partial 16S ribosomal RNA
Rfam family: Bacterial small subunit ribosomal RNA
Source: RNAcentral
CCUACGGGAGGCAGCAGUGGGGAAUAUUGCACAAUGGGGGAAACCCUGAUGCAGCGACGCCGCGUGAGUGAAGAAGCGCCUCGGCGCGUAAAGCUCUGUCAGCAGGAACGCUAAUGACGGUACCUGAAGAAGACGCCCCGGCUAACUAUGUGCCAGCAGCCGCGGUAAUACGUAGGGGGUAAGCGUUAUCCGGAUUUACUGGGUGUAAAGGGAGCGUAGACGGCGGGGCAAGUCUGGAGUGAAAUGCCGGGGCCCAACCCCGGGACCGCCGUGGAAACUGCCCGGCUGGAGUGCGGGAGAGGGAAGCGGAAUGCCUAGUGUAGCGGUGAAAGGCGUAGAGAUUACGAGGAACACCAGCGGCGAAGGCGGCUUACUGGACCGUGACUGACGUGGAGGCUCGAAAGCGUGGGGAGCAAACAGGAUUAGAUACCCUGGUAGUC